This 253-nucleotide ribosomal RNA is filed under the name uncultured bacterium. RNAcentral's name for it is "partial 16S ribosomal RNA". It matches the Rfam family "Bacterial small subunit ribosomal RNA", at positions 524 to 776 of the family's 1533-position model. The record is from RNAcentral.
UACGAAGGGUGCAAGCGUUACUCGGAAUUACUGGGCGUAAAGGGUGCGUAGGCGGGUCUUUAAGUCAGGGGUGAAAUCCUGGAGCUCAACUCCAGAACUGCCUUUGAUACUGGGGAUCUCGAGUCCGGGAGAGGUGAGUGGAAUUCCCAGUGUAGCGGUGAAAUGCGUAGAUAUUGGGAGGAACACCAGUGGCGAAGGCGGCUCACUGGACCGGAACUGACGCUGAGGCGCGAAAGCGUGGGGAGCAAACAGG